Molecule: ribosomal RNA, 456 nt
Filed under: uncultured bacterium
Lineage: Bacteria
Description: partial 16S ribosomal RNA
Rfam family: Bacterial small subunit ribosomal RNA
Source: RNAcentral
UGGGGAAUAUUGCACAAUGGGCGAAAGCCUGAUGCAGCAACGCCGCGUGAGUGAUGAAGGUCUUCGGAUUGUAAAGCUCUGUCUUUUGGGACGAUAAUGACGGUACCAAAGGAGGAAGCCACGGCUAACUACGUGCCAGCAGCCGCGGUAAUACGUAGGUGGCGAGCGUUGUCCGGAUUUACUGGGCGUAAAGGGUGCGUAGGCGGAUGUUUAAGUGAGAUGUGAAAUACCCGGGCUUAACUUGGGUGCUGCAUUUCAAACUGGAUAUCUAGAGUGCAGGAGAGGAGAAUGGAAUUCCUAGUGUAGCGGUGAAAUGCGUAGAGAUUAGGAAGAACACCAGUGGCGAAGGCGAUUCUCUGGACUGUAACUGACGCUGAGGCACGAAAGCGUGGGUAGCAAACAGGAUUAGAUACCCUGGUAGUCCACGCCGUAAACGAUGAGUACUAGGUGUAGGAG